This 1926-nucleotide ribosomal RNA is filed under the name Triticum aestivum (bread wheat). RNAcentral's name for it is "partial small subunit ribosomal RNA". The record is from RNAcentral. Lineage: Eukaryota; Viridiplantae; Streptophyta; Magnoliopsida; Poales; Poaceae.
AUGCGAAGGUUCUGCAGCGUCCCGCGCGGCCGGCGGCCGGCGGCCCCCCGCGGCGGCGGCCACCCGCCGCCGGAGUGGAUCGAGCCGUACACGGACCUCGCCGACCCGAGCCCGUACACGGCCGCCUCGGCGGCCCCGCCCACCCCGUCGCCGUGGCUGCCGCGCGUGGUCUCCCUGGUCCUCCGCGCGCCGCCGGCCACGCUCGCAGCCGACCUGCGCGCCUUCUGCCGCACCUUCCUCCUGCGCCUCUCCCCGGCCUUCGUCGCCGCCGCGCUGCGCUCCCCACAGCUCCUGCCCCACCCGCUCCCGUCGCUCCGCUUCUUCCGCGCCCUGCCCAACGGCACCGACGACCUCGCCGCCCACCCGCAGCACCUCCUCGGCUGCUACGUCUCGUUGCUGCACUCCUUCGCGCACGCCCGGGAGGCCACCCCCGACGCCGCCGGCCACGCGCGGCGGCUCGUCGCCAAGCUGCACGCCCGCGGGGACGGCCUGCUGCGGCACCUCACGCCGCCGUCGGCCGCGUCGCUCGUCCGCAGCCUCGCGGCCCUCGGCCUCGCCGACGAGCUGCUGUGGGCUUGGAACGGCAUGCGCCUCGCCGGCGUCGAGCCGUCCAGGGUCACCUACAACUGCCUCCUCGACGGCCUCGUCAACGCGGGCCUCCUUGACACCGCCGUCAGCGUGUUCGACGCAAUGUCCACUGAAGACCCGGUUCGCCCUGACGUGGUCUCCUACAACAUUCUCAUCAAGGGGUACUGCCGCGCCGGGAGGGUGCAGGAUGCGAUGGCUCGGCUCGAUCACAUGAGGGAAUGGGCGGAGCUCUCGCCCGACAAGAUAACAUACCUUACACUGAUGCAGUGCCAUUACAGCGAGGGCACGUUUUCACAGUGCGUAGCGUUGUUCCAGGAAAUGGAAGAGAGGGGAAUGGGGAAGGACAUUCCGCAGCAUGCAUAUGUGCUGGUGAUCGGCGCGCUCUGCAAGGACGGGAAGCCGUUUGAGGGAAUGGCCGUGUUCGAGAGAAUGCUCAAGCGUGGUUGCCCAGCCAAAGCAGCAAUGUACACUUCGCUCAUUGAUUCAAUGGGCAAAUUUGGUAGGGAAACCGAGGCAAUGUCACUCUUUGAGAGGAUGAAGACCAGCGGGCUUGAGCUCGACGCGGUUACAUAUGGAGUGAUUGUUAACUGCUUGUGCCGGUUUGGGAAGCUGGAUGAGGCCAUUUCAUGUUUCAGGAGUUGUGAGGAGAAAGGUAUUGCAGUGAACCCUAUCUUCUAUACAAGCCUGAUUGAUGGCUUUGGGAAAGCUGGAAUGGUCGACCAAGCACAGGAGCUCUUCGAGGAGAUGAAAGUUAAAGGUUUUGUGCCGGACUCAUACUGUUACAACGUGCUGAUAGAUGGGUUGGCUAAAGCAGGAAGGACAGAUGAUGCUUGCGCCUUGUACAAGAGGAUGGAAGAUGAUGGCUGUGAUCAGACUGUUUACACGUAUACCAUACUGAUCGAUGGUUUGUUCAAGGAACACAAGAAUGAGGAGGCGCUGAAGUUGUGGGAUGCGAUGAUCGACAAGGGGAUAACUCCCACAGCUGCAGCUUUCAGGGCCCUUGCCAACGGGCUAUGUCUUUCUGGCAAAUACAGCCGAGCAUGCAGGAUAUUGGAUGAACUGGCUCCAAUGGGUGUGAUUCCUGAGACGGCACACGAGGACAUGAUCAAUGCUCUGUGCAGGGCCGGCAGAUUCAAGCAGGCCUGCAAAUUGGCAGAUGGCAUCGUAGGAAAGGGCCGUGAGAUACCCGGCAGGGUUCGAACAAUGAUGAUCAACGCACUCAGGAAAGCGGGGAAUACUGAUCUAGCGGUCAAGCUGGUGCAUAGUAAGAUAGGCAUUGGGUAUGAAAGAUCUGGCAGCAUCAAGAGAAGAGUGAAGUUUCAGACGCUGUUUGCCUGA